ACGAAGGUGGCAAGCGUUACUCGGAAUUACUAGGCGUAAAGGGCAGGUAGGUGGUUUGGUUAGUCUGUUGUGAAAGCUCCUUGCUUAACGGGGAGAGGUCAACAGAUACUGCCAGACUUGAGUUCGGGAGAGGGAAGCGGAAUUCCGGGUGUAGCGGUGAAAUGCGUAGAUAUCCGGAGGAACACCGGUGGCGAAGGCGGCUUCCUGGACCGACACUGACGCUGAGGCGCGAAAGCUAGGGGAGCAAACGGGA
Molecule: ribosomal RNA, 253 nt
Filed under: uncultured prokaryote
Description: partial 16S ribosomal RNA
Rfam family: Bacterial small subunit ribosomal RNA
Source: RNAcentral